AAACUUUCAACAACGGAUCUCUUGGCUCUGGCAUCGAUGAAGAACGCAGCGAAACGCGAUAAGUAAUGUGAAUUGCAGAAUCCAGUGAAUCAUCGAAUCUUUGAACGCACAUUGCGCCCGCCAGCAUUCUGGCGGGCAUGCCUGUUCGAGCGUCAUUUC
This 159-nucleotide ribosomal RNA is filed under the name Beauveria bassiana. Its description in RNAcentral is "5.8S ribosomal RNA". It matches the Rfam family "5.8S ribosomal RNA". Rfam says of the family: 5.8S ribosomal RNA (5.8S rRNA) is a component of the large subunit of the eukaryotic ribosome. It is transcribed by RNA polymerase I as part of the 45S precursor that also contains 18S and 28S rRNA. Functionally, it is thought that 5.8S rRNA may be involved in ribosome translocation. RNAcentral also lists the same sequence under 3 other names. The record is from RNAcentral. Lineage: Eukaryota; Fungi; Ascomycota; Sordariomycetes; Hypocreales; Cordycipitaceae.